This is an RNA transcript of Sapajus apella (tufted capuchin), 15749 nucleotides long. It is a transcript of the gene named bassoon presynaptic cytomatrix protein, with no coding region annotated. NCBI's taxonomy places the organism in Eukaryota, Metazoa, Chordata, Mammalia, Primates, Cebidae. The transcript is spliced from 11 exons. The record is from RefSeq and is a predicted model, not a curated record.
AACAGUCAUUUUCAAUGUCAUUUCAGCACUUCCCGGAGACUGGACCCCAAGGAACCCCUGGGUAGCCAGAGAGCAGCUUCCCCAACUCCGAAGCAGGCUUCUGCUACUACUCCUGGCCAUGAGAGCCCACGGGAGACAAGGGCACAGGGACCAGCAGGCCAGGAGGCUGAUGGUCCCCGCAGGACGCUGCAGGUAGACAGCAGGACACAGAGAUCAGGGCGGUCCCCCUCAGUGUCACCGGACAGAGGCAGCACCCCCACAUCACCCUACUCCGUCCCUCAGAUCGCCCCCCUUCCCAGCAGCACGCUAUGUCCCAUAUGCAAGACUUCGGACCUUACAUCGACCCCCAGCCAGCCAAACUUCAACACCUGCACCCAGUGUCACAACAAGGUCUGCAACCAGUGUGGGUUCAACCCCAACCCUCAUCUCACCCAGGUGAAGGAGUGGCUCUGUCUGAACUGUCAGAUGCAGAGGGCUCUGGGAAUGGACAUGACCACUGCACCUCGCUCCAAGAGCCAGCAGCAGCUGCACUCCCCAGCCCUGUCUCCUGCACACUCCCCUGCCAAACAGCCCCAGGGGAAGCCAGAGCAAGAGAGAUCUCGGGGCCCAGGAGGACCACAGCCUGGCUCCUGCCAGGCUGAGACAGCCAGGGCCACCUCAGUGCCGGGGUCUGCCCAAGCAGCUGCCCCUCCAGAGGUGGGGAGGGUGUCUCCUCAGCCCCCUCAACCCACCAAGCCUUCCACAGUUGAGCCCAGGCCACCUGCAGGAGAGGCCCCAGCCAAAAGUGCCACCGCAGUGCCCACUGGGCUUGGUGCCGCCGAGCAGACCCAGGAGGGCCUCACUGGUAAGCUCUUCGGCCUCGGCGCAUCGCUGCUAACCCAGGCGAGCACCCUCAUGUCUGUGCAGCCCGAGGCUGACACCCAGGGCCAGCCUGCCCCCAGCAAGGGGACACCCAAGAUUGUCUUCAGUGAUGCCAGCAAGGAGGCUGGCCCAAAACCCUCGGGCUCAGUGCCCGGGCCUGGGCCAGCACCUGGAGCCAAAACUGAACCUGGGGCUAGAACAGGUCCUGGAUCUGGGCCUGGAGCUCUGGCGAAAACUGGGGGAACAACCAGUCCAAAGCAUGGCAAAGCAGAACACCAGGUAGCAUCGAAGGCUGCUGCCAAGCCAAAGACCAUGCCGAAGGAAAGGGCCACCUGCCCACUGUGCCAAGCUGAGCUGAACGUGGGGAGCAAGAGCCCAGCCAACUAUAACACGUGUACCACCUGCAAGCUCCAGGUGUGCAACCUGUGUGGCUUCAACCCAACACCCCACCUGGUGGAGAAAACAGAGUGGCUCUGUCUGAACUGCCAAACCAAGCGGCUACUGGAGGGCAGCCUGGGAGAGCCGACCCCCCCGCCACUGCCCACCUCACAGCAGCCCCCUGUUGGGGCCCCUCACCGUGCAUCUGGAACAUCCCCUCUGAAGCAGAAAGGGCCACAGGGGCUGGCCCAGCCAUCAGGCCCCCUGCCCGCCAAGGCCAGCCCUCUGCCCACCAAGGCCAGCCCUCUACCCACCAAAGCCAGCCCUCUACCCACCAAGGCCAGCCCCCUACCCACCAAGGCCAGCCCCCAGGCCAAGCCCCUCAGGGCUUCUGAACCUAGCAAGACCCCAAGCAGUGCCCUGGAAAAGAAGACUGGAGCCCCCACUAAAGCUGAGCCCAUGCCGAAGCCACCUCCAGAGACUACCCCGACCCCUGGGGCUCCUAAAGUGAAGAGUGGGGUGAGGAGGGCCGAACCUGCCACCCCUGUCAUCAAGGCCAUUCCAGAAGCCCCCAAGGGUGGGGAGGUGGAGGACCUGGUGGGCAAGCCUUACUCUCAAGACCUGUCUCGGAGCCCACAGAGCCUCAGUGACACAGGCUAUUCCUCCGACGGCAUCUCUAGCUCCCAGAGUGAGAUCACAGGAGUUGUGCAGCAGGAGGUGGAACAACUGGACAGUGCAGGGGUGACAGGGCCAUGUCCACCCAGCCCCUCUGAGAUCCACAAGGUGGGGAGCAGCAUACGGCCUUUGCUGGAGGCCCAGGGCCUGGCCCCCAGUGGUGAGCAGAGCAAGCCACCCUGCAGCAGUACUGGCGAGGAACAGAAGCAGCGGCCCCACUCCUUGUCCAUCACGCCUGAGGCCUUUGACUCUGAUGAAGAGCUGGAGGACAUCCUGGAGGAAGAGGAAGGCUCUGUCGAGUGGAGGCGCCGGAGGGAGCAGCAGGACACUGCUGAGUCCUCAGAUGACUUUGGCAGCCAACUGAGGCAUGACUAUGUGGAGGACAGCAGUGAAGGUGGCCUGUCCCCUCUUCCACCCCAGCCCCCAGCCAGGGCAGCAGAACUGACUGAUGAGGAGUUCAUGCGACAGCAGAUUCUGGAGAUGAGUGCCGAGGAAGACAACCUGGAGGAGGAUGACACUGCCACCUCCGGGCAUGGCCUGGCCAAGCAUGGCACCCAGAAGGGCGGCCCCAGACCCAGGCCUGAGCCUAGCCAAGAACCAGCAGCACUACCCAAGAGGCGGCUGCCCCACAAUGCCACCACGGGCUAUGAGGAGCUGCUCCCCGAGGGAGGCACAGCAGAGGCUACUGAUGGCAGUGGGACCCUGCAGGGUGGGCUCCGUCGCUUCAAGACCAUUGAGCUCAACAGCACGGGAAGUUAUGGCCAUGAGCUGGACCUGGGCCAAGGCCCUGACCCCAGUCUGGACCGGGAGCCCGAGCUGGAGAUGGAGAGCCUGACAGGCUCCCCUGAGGACCGCUCCCGUGGUGAGCACUCCUCUACAUUGCCUGCCUCCACACCCAGCUAUACCUCGGGCACCUCUCCCACCUCUCUGUCCUCCCUAGAGGAAGACAGUGACAGCAGCCCCAGCCGCAGGCAGCGUCUGGAAGAAGCAAAGCAGCAGCGCAAGGCCCGGCACCGCUCCCAUGGACCCCUGCUGCCCACCAUUGAGGACUCCUCGGAGGAAGAGGAGCUGCGGGAGGAAGAGGAGCUGUUGCGUGAGCAGGAGAAGAUGCGGGAGGUGGAGCAGCAGCGCAUCCGCAGCACGGCCCGCAAGACCCGGCGGGACAAGGAAGAACUACGUGCCCAGCGGAGGCGAGAGCGCUCCAAGACACCACCCAGUAACUUGUCACCCAUCGAGGAUGCCUCCCCGACGGAGGAGCUGAGGCAGGCAGCUGAGAUGGAGGAGCUGCACCGCUCCUCCUGCUCUGAGUACUCGCCCUCACCCUCCCUUGACUCUGAGGCUGAGGCCCUGGAUGGUGGCCCCAGCCGGCUUUACAAGUCAGGCAGUGAGUACAACCUGCCCACCUUCAUGUCCCUCUACUCACCAACCGAGACACCCUCUGGCAGCUCCACCACUCCCAGUUCCGGACGGCCCCUCAAGAGCGCUGAGGAAGCCUAUGAGGAGAUGAUGCGCAAAGCUGAGCUGCUCCAGAGGCAGCAGGGCCAGGCGCCAGGGGCCCGGGGACCCCAUGGUGGCCCCUCUCAGCCCACAGGCCCCCGGGGCCCAGGCUCCUUCGAAUAUCAAGACACUGCAGACCGUGACUAUGGCCGGGCUGCUCAGCCUGCCACAGAGGGCACACCAGCCAGCCUGGGAGCAGCCGUGUACGAAGAAAUUCUUCAGACGUCACAGAGCAUAGUUCGCAUGCGGCAGGCCUCCUCACGAGACCUGGCUUUUGCUGAGGACAAAAAGAAGGAGAAGCAGUUUCUGAAUGCUGAGAGUGCAUACAUGGACCCGAUGAAGCAAAAUGGCGGCCCCCUUACUCCUGGUACCAGUCCCACCCAGCUCGCUGCCCCUGUGUCCUUCUCCACCCCCACCUCUUUGGACAGCAGCGGGGGCCUAGUUAUUCCCGAUGUCCGUGUCACUCAGCAUUUUGCAAAGGAGCCUCAGGACCCCCUCAAGCUGCACAGCUCUCCUGCCUCCCCCAGCUCAGCCUACAAGGAGGCAGGCAUGCCCUUGUCCCAGGGCCCUGGGACCCCAGCCACCGCAGCUGUGGCUCCUUGUCCCGCAGGGCUGCCACGAGGAUAUAUGACUCCAGCCUCCCCAGCAGGCUCCGAGCGUAGUCCUUCACCGUCUUCCACAGGCCAUAGCUAUGGACACAGCCCAACCACUGCAAACUAUGGGUCCCAAACUGAGGAUCUACCCCAGGUCCCCAGUGGCCUUGCUGCAGCUGGAUGGGCUGCCAGAGAGAAGCCACUGAGUGCAAGUGACAGUGAGGGUGGCACUCCUCAGCCUUCCCGGGCAUAUUCCUACUUUGCAAGUUCCAGCCCACCUCUCUCCCCAUCUUCCCCCUCAGAGAGUCCCACAUUCUCCCUUGGCAAGCUGGGCCAAAGGGCCACAGCAGAGUUCUCUACACAGACACCAAGUCUAGCCCCUGCCUCGGACAGGCCAUGGAGUCCUGGUGCCCCCACCCCAUCACCUAUGGUAGCCCAGGGCACACAAACACCACAUCGACCAAGCACCCCUCGCCUGGUGUGGCAGGAGUCCUCGCAGGAGGCUCCCUUUAUGGUCAUCACGCUGGCAUCAGAUGCCUCCAGCCAGACCAGGAUGGUACAUGCCAAUGCCUCCACCUCCCCGCUCUGCUCACCUACUGAAACCCUGCCCACCACCCAUAGCUACAGCCAGACAACACCUCCGAGUGUGUCUCAGCUACCCCCAGAGCCACCUGGGCUACCUGGCUUUCCACGGGCACCCAGUGCUGGUGUGGAUGGGCCCCUGGCACUAUAUGGCUGGGGUGCCCUCCCUGCUGAGAACAUCUCCCUUUGCCGGAUCUCCUCUGUCCCUGGGACGUCUAGGGUUGAGCCAGGCCCCAGGCCCCCUGGCACUGCAGUGGUAGACCUCCGUACAGCUGUCAAGCCCACGCCCAUCAUCCUCACUGACCAGGGCAUGGACCUCACCUCUCUUGCCGUGGAAGCGAGGAAGUAUGGUCUUGCCCUAGAUCCAAUCCCAGGACGGCAGUCGACCGCCGUGCAGCCUUUGGUUAUCAACCUCAAUGCCCAGGAGCAGACCCAUACCUUCCUUGCCACUGCCACCACCGUGAGCAUCACCAUGGCCUCGUCUGUGCUCAUGGCUCAACAAAAGCAGCCUGUGGUCUAUGGAGACCCCUACCAGAGCCGCCUUGACUUUGGCCAGGGUGGAGGUAGCCCUGUGUGCCUGGCCCAGGUCAAACAAGUAGAGCAGGCUGUCCAAACAGCCCCAUACCGAAGUGGGCCCCGGGGAAGACCCAGGGAGGCCAAACUUGCCAGAUAUAACCUGCCCAACCAAGUAGCACCUCUGGCCAGAAGGGAUGUUUUAAUCACUCAGAUAGGCACCGCCCAGAGUGUUGGCCUCAAGCCAGGCCCAGUGCCAGAGCCUGGUGCUGAGCCCCACCAGGCCACCCCUGCAGAGCUUCGGUCACAUGCUCUGCCAGGUGUCAGGAAGCCACACACAGUGGUGGUGCAGAUGGGAGAGGGCACAGCUGGCACUGUGACCACGCUGCUCCCUGAGGAGCCUGCGGGUGCCCUGGACCUCACAGGGAUGAGGCCUGAGAGCCAACUGGCAUGCUGUGACAUGGUCUAUAAGCUCCCCUUUGGGAGCAGCUGCACUGGCACCUUCCACCCCGCCCCUAGUGCGCCUGAGAAGAGCAUGGCAGAUGCUGCCCCACCUGGGCAAAGCAGUGGCCCCUUCUAUGGUCCCCAGGACGCUGAGCCUCCUGAGCCCCUCACCUACCGGGCACAGGGGGUUGUGGGGCCUGGGCCUCAUGAGGUGCAGAGGCCCUACCCACAGGGCCUGCCUGGUAGGUUGUACUCCUCCAUGUCUGACACCAAUUUGGCUGAGGCUGGCCUCAACUACCAUGCCCAGAGGAUUGGGCAGCUCUUCCAGGGCCCUGGACGAGACUCGGCUGUGGACCUCAGCUCACUGAAGCAUUCCUACAGCCUGGGCUUUGCAGAUGGACGCUACCUAGGGCAGGGCUUGCAGUAUGGCUCAUUCACGGACCUGCGUCAUCCUACAGACCUGUUGGCUCACCCACUUCCCAUGCGGCGCUAUAGCUCAGUGUCAAACAUCUACUCAGACCACAGGUACGGCCCACGGGGAGACACAGUUGGCUUCCAGGAGGCCAGCCUGGCCCAGUACAGUGCCACCACAGCCCGUGAAAUCAGUCGCAUGUGCGCUGCCCUCAACUCCAUGGACCAGUAUGGUGGGCGGCAUGGCAGUGGUGGUGGUGGCCCUGACCUUGUACAGUACCAGUCCCAGCAUGGGCCUGGGCUCAGUGCUCCACAGAGUCUGGCUCCCCUCAGACCUGGACUCCUUGGUAACCCCACCUUUCCAGAGGGCCACCCAAGUCCUGGGAACUUGGCCCAGUAUGGGCCUGCAGCAGGCCAUGGAACAGCAAUCAGACAGCUGCUACCAUCCACAGCCACUGUGCGUGCAGCUGAUGGCAUGAUCUACUCGACUAUCAACACCCCAAUUGCUGCAACACUGCCCAUCACCACCCAGCCUGCCUCAGUCCUGCGGCCCAUGGUGCGUGGUGGCAUGUACAGGCCUUACGCAUCUGGUGGAGUCACAGCCGUGCCACUCACCAGUCUGACACGCGUGCCCAUGAUUGCCCCCCGGGUACCUCUUGGACCCACAGGGCUGUACCGAUAUCCUGCACCAAGUAGAUUCCCCGUUGCUUCCAGUGUUCCACCUGCAGAGGGUCCUGUCUAUCUGGGGAAACCUGCUGCUGCCAAGGCCUCUGGGGCUGGGGGCCCUCCAAGGCCAGAGAUGCCAGCAGGGGCUGCACGGGAAGAGCCUCUUCCCACAACAACCCCUGUUGCCAUUAAGGAGGCUGCAGGAGCCCCAGCUCCUGCCCCACUAGCUGGCCAGAAGCCACCAGCAGAUGCUGCUCCUGGAGGUGGCACUGGGGCCCUCAGCCGGCCAGGGCUCGAGAAAGAGGAAGUAUCACAGGAGGAGAGGCAGCGGAAGCAGCAGGAGCAGCUGCUCCAGCUAGAGCGGGAGCGGGUGGAGCUGGAGAAGCUGCGACAACUUCGGCUGCAAGAGGAGCUAGAGCGUGAACGUGUGGAGCUGCAGAGGCACCGUGAGGAGGAGCAGCUGCUGGUGCAGCGGGAGUUGCAGGAGCUGCAGACCAUUAAGCACCAUGUGCUGCAGCAGCAGCAAGAGGAGCGCCAGGCUCAAUUUGCAUUGCAGCGGGAACAGCUAGCACAGCAGCGUCUGCAGCUGGAGCAGAUCCAGCAGCUGCAGCAGCAGCUACAGCAGCAGCUAGAGGAGCAGAAGCAGCGGCAGAAAGCUCCCUUCCCUGCAGCCUGUGAAGCACCUGGCCGAGGGCCUCCCCUAGCGGCUGCUGAGCUGGCCCAGAAUGGCCAGUAUUGGCCCCCUCUUACCCACGCAGCCUUCAUUGCCAUGGCAGGGCCUGAAGGACCUGGGCAGCCUCGUGAGCCUGUGCUACACCGGGGUCUCCCCAGCUCUGCCUCAGACAUGUCACUGCAAACAGAGGAGCAAUGGGAGACCAGCCGUAGUGGCAUCAAGAAGCGGCACUCCAUGCCACGCCUGCGAGAUGCCUGUGAACCAGAAUCUGCACCUGAGCCCUGCAUGGUCAGGAGGAUUGCUGACAGCAGCGUGCAGACAGAUGAUGAGGAUGGGGAGGGCCGCUACCUCUUGACCCGGCGACGCAGGGCACGGAGGAGUACUGACUGCAGUGUGCAGACGGACGACGAGGACAGUGCUGAGUGGGAGCAGCCAGUGCGCCGCCGCAGGUCCCGUCUUCCCCGCCACUCAGACUCAGGCUCUGACAGCAAGCACGAUGCCACUGCCUCAUCAUCCACUGCUGCCGCCACUGCGAGGGCCAUGAGCAGUGUGGGCAUCCAGACUAUCAGUGACUGUUCUGUGCAGACAGAGCCUGACCAGCUGCCCAGGGUCUCUCCAGCCAUCCACAUCACAGCUGCCACCGAUCCCAAGGUGGAGAUCGUCAGGUACAUAUCGGCUCCAGAGAAGACUGGGCGUGGGGAAAGCCUGGCCUGCCAGACGGAACCUGACGGGCAGGCCCAGGGUGUAGCUGGGCCACAGCUUGUAGGGCCAACUGCCAUCAGCCCCUACCUGCCCGGCAUCCAGAUUGUUACCCCAGGACCUCUGGGCAGAUUUGAAAAAAAGAAGCCAGAUCCCCUGGAGAUUGGGUACCAGGCCCAGCUGCCUCCAGAGUCUCUCUCACAGCUUAUGAGCCGCCAGCCUCCCAAGUCCCCUCAGGUCCUCUACUCACCAGUCUCACCCUUGUCCCCUCACCGGCUCCUGGACACCUCCUUUGCUUCCAGUGAGAGGCUGAACAAGGCUCACGUGAGUCCCCAGAAGCACUUCACAGCUGACAGCGCUCUCCGCCAGCAGACGCUGCCUCGCCCCAUGAAGACCCUGCAGCGGUCCUUGUCUGACCCUAAGCCCCUCAGCCCCACCGCUGAAGAGUCUGCCAAAGAGAGAUUCUCCCUCUACCAGCACCAGGGGGGACUGGGUAGCCAGGUGUCGGCGCUGCCACCCAACAGCCUGGUCCGCAAGGUGAAGCGGACACUGCCCAGCCCCCCUCCAGAGGAGGCUCACCUUCCCCUGGCUGGCCAGGCCGCCCCACAGCUGUAUGCAGCCAGCCUGCUGCAGAGAGGGCUGACGGGGCCCACCGCUGUCCCUACUACCAAGGCCAGCCUGCUCCGGGAGCUGGACCGGGACCUGCGGCUGGUGGAGCAUGAGUCCACCAAGCUGCGCAAGAAGCAGGCGGAGUUGGAUGAGGAGGAGAAGGAGAUUGACGCCAAGCUCAAGUACCUGGAGCUAGGUAUCACACAACGCAAAGAGUCUUUGGCCAAAGACCGAGGUGGCCGUGACUACCCACCCUUGCGUGGUCUUGGUGAGCAUCGUGACUACCUGUCGGACAGCGAGCUCAACCAGCUGCGGCUCCAGGGCUGCACUACUCCCUCCGGCCAGUAUGUGGACUUCUCUGCCACUGCCGCUGCUCCUACCACCCCCUCUGGUCCCACUGCCUUCCAGCAGCCCCGCUUUCAGCCUCUGGCCCCACAGUACACUGCAGGCAGUGGUGGGCCAGCUCAGAACGGAUUCCCAGCCCACCAGGCCCCCUCCUACCCUGGCCCCAGCACAUACCCAGCUGCUCCUGCCUUUCCUCCUGGCACCAGUUACCCAGCCGAGCCUGGCCUGCCAAACCAGCAGGCUUUCCGUCCCACAGGCCAUUAUGUAGGCCAAACACCCAUGCAAACUACACAGAGCACCCUUUUUCCAGUCCCCGCUGAUAGCCGUGCCCCCCCGCAGAAGCCACGGCAGACAUCGCUAGCCGACUUGGAGCAGAAGGUGCCCACCAACUAUGAGGUGAUCGCCAGCCCCGUUGUGGCCAUGUCUUCGGCCCCUUCUGAAACUGGCUACAGUGGCCCAACAGUGAGCAGUGGCUAUGAGCAGGGCAAGGUCCCUGAGCUUCCCCGAGCUGGUGACCGUGGCAGUGUGAGCCACAGCCCAGCCCCCACCUACCCCUCUGACUCACACUAUACCAAUCUGGAGCAGAACGUUCCUCGAAAUUAUGUAAUGAUUGACGACAUCAGUGAACUGACCAAGGACAGCACCUCUACUGCUCCUGACAGCCAGCGGCUGGAGCCCCUGGGGCCAGGCAGCAGUGGGCGUCCAGGGAAAGAGCCUGGAGAACCAGGUGUCCUUGAGGGGCCCACACUGCCCUGCUGCUAUGCCAGAGGGGAGGAGGAAUCUGAGGAGGACUCGUACGACCCCCGCAGCAAGGGUGGCCAUCACCGGAGCAUGGAGAGCAAUGGUCGACCAGCCAGUACCCACUACUACGGUGACAGUGACUACAGACAUGGGGCUCGCACAGAGAAGUAUGGUCCAGGGCCCAUGGGGCCCAAGCAUCCCUCCAAGAGCCUGGCUCCAGCUGCCAUCUCCUCAAAGCGCAGCAAGCACCGGAAGCAGGGCAUGGAGCAAAAGAUCUCCAAGUUCUCGCCUAUUGAAGAGGCCAAGGAUGUGGAGUCAGACCUGGCGUCCUACCCCUCACCUGCAGUCAGCAGCAGCCUGGUCUCUCGAAGCAGGAAGUUCCAGGAUGAAAUCACCUAUGGGCUCAAGAAGAACGUGUAUGAGCAGCAGAGAUACUAUGGGAUGUCCAGCCGGGACGCAGUAGAGGAGGAUGACCGCAUUUAUGGUGGGAGCAGCCGGCCCCGGGCACCUUCUACAUACAGUGGGGAGAAGCUGUCCAGCCAUGACUUCAGCGGCAGGGGCAAGGGGUACGAAAGGGAACGGGAGGCUGUGGAGCGACUUCAAAAAGCGGGCCCCAAGCCCUCAUCCCUAAGUAUGGCCCACAGCCGGGCACGGCCCCCCAUGCGGAGCCAGGCCUCUGAAGAGGAGAGCCCUGUCAGCCCCUUGGGGAGGCCCCGCCCUGCCGGAGGGCCCCUCCCUCCUGGUGGGGAUACCUGCCCACAGUUCUGCUCCAGCCACUCCAUGCCUGAUGUCCAGGAGCAUGUCAAGGACGGACCUCGGGCCCACGCAUAUAAGCGUGAGGAGGGCUACAUCCUGGAUGAUUCCCACUGCGUGGUUUCCGACAGUGAAGCGUAUCACCUGGGCCAGGAGGAGACGGACUGGUUUGAUAAGCCCCGGGAUGCCCGCUCUGACCGGUUCAGGCACCACGGGGGCCAUGCAGUUUCCUCCUCCUCCCAGAAGCGAGGCCCUUCCAGGCACAGCUACCAUGACUACGAUGAACCCCCUGAGGAGGGCCUGUGGCCUCACGAUGAGGGUGGCCCAGGCCGCCAUGCCUCAGCCAAGGAACACCGGCACCACAGUGACCACGGGCGGCACUCAGGCCGCCACACUGGUGAGGAGCCAGGACGGCGUGCUGCCAAACCACACACUCGGGACUUGGGUCGCCAUGAGGCCCGGCCCCACUCUCAGCCCAGCUCUGCUUCAGCUAUGCCGAAGAAGAGUCAGCCUGGCUACCCCAGCUCUGCUGAGUACUCACAGCCAUCCCGUGCUCCCUCCGCAUACCAUCAUGCCUCUGACAGCAAGAAGGGCUCCCGACAAGCCCACUCUGGGCCCGCUGCACCGCAGUCAAAGGCAGAACCCCAGGCGCAGCCACAGUUGCAAGGUCGGCAGGCAGCUCCAGGGCCACAACAGUCACAGCCACCAUCAUCCAGGCAAAUACCCUCUGGGGCAGCAUCGCGCCAGCCACAGAUGCAGCAGCAGCAACAACAGCAGCAGCAGCAGCAAGGUCUUGGGCUGCAGCCCCCACAGCAGGCCCCGACGCAGGCUCGGCUGCAGCAACAGAGCCAGCCAACCACCCGGGGCUCAGCCCCUGUUGCCAGCCAGCCUGCAGGGAAGCCUCAGCCAGGCCCCACGACAGCCACAGGCCCUCAGCCAGCAGGACUGCCACGGGCAGAACAGACAAAUGGCUCUAAAGGGACAGCCAAAGCUCCGCAACAGGGAAGGGCUCCUCAGGCCCAGUCAACACCAGGACCUGGACCUGCAGGUGUGAAGGCUGCAGCAAGGCCUGGAGGAACCCCAGGGGCUCCUGCCAGCCAGCCAGGUGCCGAAGGGGAGAGCGUGUUCUCCAAGAUCCUUCCUGGUGGGGCAGCCGAGCAAGCUGGCAAACUGACGGAAGCUGUUUCUGCUUUUGGCAAAAAAUUUUCCUCAUUCUGGUGACCAUGCCCAGCAGGGCUCUUGAAGAAAUGAAGACAGUUAUCAUUGCUGUGGAAAAAUCUCUGGAGUCAGAGGCCAGGGCGCAGCUCUGGACUCUGCGUAUAACACAUCUACAAUCUGGCAAACCCUUGGCCCAAAGACUCACCAGGUGGGACGUGGCAGGCAGGCCUCAGUUGAGGAUGCGAUGUUUUCUCACAGCAGCUGUCUGGGUGAAGCAUCUGCUGGACAAGUGGCACCAGUGGCCGGGGGACCUUUGAUUGUUUUUCCAGAGACGCUGCUCUCCACAGGGCACCACUUUCAAGGCACAGCCCUCGUUGGGAGGGAGGACCCUCUCCAGAAACCCGGCCACAACAGUAUCUUGCCGUACUUCCCACAGCCUCCUCUUUGCAGCCUGGCCAGCCAGGCUUCCAAUGCGUUAUACACAGAGUUUGGGCGCACACUGCCCUCCCUCCGAGAUGCCAGAAGUUUUUCCACAGCCUUGGAGAGGGGCUUUGACUGAGGGCUGGGGGCCCCAGGCUCCGUUUCCUUCACAUUCCAGCUGGCCCGGAUCCCUCUGUGGCACAGGGCCCUGCCCCCGUCACCUGCCCUCUGGGUGACAUCGGAGCAGACCUCCAUGUGGCCAGCAUGGGGUUGGGAGAACUUUACAAACAUUAGGACCUAACACUGUCUCAUCGCUGAAAUAAGAGGCCGUAGCACCGAAAAGCAGCGUGGGCACUGGCUGAGGCUUCUCCCAGCCCGUGGGUGGCAGUGUCCUAGAACACUGCCACCAUCUCAAAGCCAUCCCCCUAGCCAUCGUGAGCAUCCCAGCGGCACCGCCAUUGUCUCAACCAGCCGGCUCCUCGUCCAUACACCUGGGGAUUUCUUUUGAUUUCAAGAACAGCCUUAAUCAUUCCAGUUUGAUUUACGUGUAUACCUCAUAAACAUUUUUCUUUUGUUUCUCUCUCCCACUUUCUCUCUUCUCUUGGCUCACCCCUUGCCUCUCCCCUCCACCACCACUUUGUGACUGAUGGUUCGGUUUCCUCUCUGCUCUGCCCCUGCUCAGCACAGGGAGAAUGUUGACUUAGAAGCAAUAGGGGGCAGCAGGCCACCAAGAGCACAACCCCAGGGCGAGGUCUAGGGAGGUCCCUUAGCCCGCCUCUGUUUACUGUGCAAUUCCAGUCCUUCUUAAGCCAUCACCAGUGGGUGUGCUCAGAGCAGAGUGGCCAGGCUUCUGCUAGCCAAGGGAAAGGCCCAGGGCCCUGUGUGGGGGAGUGUGCCACUGUCUAUCCAUCUGGUGGGCUGGGCUGCAUUCCUCCCCAAGGCCCUUCCCUUGGGGGCCUCCCUUCAUCUUGGGCACAGCCACAAGUCUCAUCUCUAACGUUCUAUGCAAUGAAAUAUAAACCCUCAAUUUUGACAACUGUUAAUAUUUAAUAAAUUCCAUGUUAUGUAUAAGGAGUUAAUUGCAAACAUGUAAUUGAGAAACUGGAUAGAUACACUCAUAUCACCCCCAACCCCCACCCCACCCCUGCUCCCAUUGUGUGUGUGAAAUUCUCAGUCUGUGGCAUGUUUGACCUGUGGCAGGACUCGCUGCUGCCAGGUGAGUCACCGCCUGUCCCGCAGUGGAGCAUGCACAGCUCGCAGCCUCUUUGCACGAUUUCAUCCAUUUUAAAUGCUCGACCCUGUUGCUUGGAGUUCUUUUUGCCUCAGAACCUCUCCUUCAGGAGCACUUCUAGCUGACUUCUGCACAAGCUAGUAAGGACCUGCCAGAAUUGUUGCCUGAGCGUGCCAGACUGCAGGGCAGGUAGUUCAAGGCCCCACACACCCUGCAGUUUUCUCUGUCCAGGAUAGCAGGUAAAAAGGAAUCCCCAGAGCAGAUGCAAUGGUAGGAGCCUGAACAGGAUGCGUGUGUAUGGACAUGGACAUUCUGAAGGCUUGCUGUAGGAUUUCUGUCUGUCAUUUUCCCUUCCUACCCCAACCCUGAGCCAUAGGCAUCUGCUAGCCCUUUCCCAAAGGGCACUAGUCAAGGGCAGAGCUGGGCAGCAUCCAUGGCCAGAGAGGCAGAGAUAAGACCAGAGCCAGGUUGUGCCUCAGGGACCCCAGCUCUUGACUGCACCUGUUCCAUGCCUCUCCUCUGUGGCUAAGAGGCUCAAAGGACUGUGAGCCAGGAGAUCUGGGCUGGAGCUAGGGGGUCAAUGGAUGCUCAGGAAGAACAGGGCCUUUGGCACUUGUGGUGAGAACAGUUGACAAUGGUCAUCUGGAACUGUGCAUAUGAACAGUGGCUUCAAGCUAAGUUUCUUGUGAAGUUUCUCAGUAGCAAAUCUUAUAGAAGGUCCUGUGUGACCCUCUCGGCAUCUGUCCCUAGGACCCUAUGCUCCCUGCCCACCCCCUUCUCCAAAGCCCAAGCAUCCCACUGCUCAUCAGUUUUUCUACCACUGAGCCAGGAGUACGGCAGGUAGUAGCUGCCUGACCCCUCAAGGCCUGACCUUUGUCCAGAGUGCUCUGGUUUGCACCAUGCAUUUCUCAGGGGUCCGCAUUUCUCAUGCUUUUUUAAAAGGUCUACACACCCCUUCAGUGAGGGCUCCUGGCUCACCUCUGGAAGCAAUGGAUGGGAAAGGAAGCUGCCAACCUCUGUGUUGGACUUAACACCCUUGCCUUCCUGGGACUUGGCCUCACUCAACCCAUGGAAUAUCUUCCUCAUCCCAGAGAUCAGGUAUGCGCUGAAUGAGGCCAUCUGAGCGAGGGCUGAGGGAAGACAUCAUCUAACACCUCUGGCCGCCCAGGACCAGCUCUGUGUGGGGAUGUGCCUUGGAGACCAAGGCAAUCAUCCUUUCCACUACAGGCCAGGGGAUGGGACAAGAAGCAAGGAAUAGGCAGGGAAAUGUUAGGGAGUCAGAGCCUCCAGUAGGCCUAGUCUCAGGCUCUAAAUUACUGACUUUUCCGCAAAUUUCCUUUCUGGCCAAGCCCUCUGAGUUUGAAAUUUGACAGCUGUCACUCCUCAUUCCCCACUGUACCCCCAGGAUACAUCAUUGGCCCUCUGUGAAGGUGGCUGGAGCAGGCCUCUGGUCCAUGGACUAUCCUUCCUGGCUCCUGCAUGGAUGCAGUUGUGACUCUGGGGACAAUGCAGCCAGAAGCUGAGGGACCAGCAUUCGGUGCCUUGGGAAGUAGAGAGCAACAGACACAUCUCCAAAUGAGUCUCUAGCAUGCAGCCCAGGCUUUCUCCAUACCCCUCUUCCCAGCAUCAUGAGCAAGGGCAUUGCCUCCUCUCUCUGCCCACUUCAGGGCCUAGUGUACUCACUUCACAGUGACAGCCCUCCCCUCACCACCAUCCUCUUAGUCCUUGGGCUAGCAUGUGGUCUCAGGGCCCACAGUGAAAGAACAGCAGUGGUGGCAACUAUGCCCUGUCUUCUGGAGCCUGUAGGGAGUUUUCCAGGCAGGUCCUUUGCCAUGACAGCAUGGUCCUGCCCUGUUGCCCCCUCCCCUCUCCCCUUACCCACGCCCAUGCUGUAAAUACUUGUCAUCAUGGACUCCAACAGGGGUAGAGGGACAGGCCUAACCAACUGAAACUCCUCAGAGAUGCCAUCUCUGUCUCCCUGGGUGCCAGCAGCCCUGCUGCCAUGUGCACUGGGGUGGCACUGGAGAGCCAUGGAAGUGGUGAGAUAUUUUAUGUGUAUGCACAUGAUCAUGUGUGUAUGUGCGUGUGUGUGUGUGUGUGUGUGUGUGUGUGUGUGUGUGCGUUCCUGCCUCAUUCAGUUUCUGGGGUCAAAUCAACUCCUUCUCUCCAAGUGCAGUAUCCUGGAGAGUGGUGGCCACUCAAUACCUUUUCCUCUAGCUUUCAUGUCUUUUUUUUUUUUUUUUUGCUUUCCCCUCCUCCUCCCUCUCUCCCUUUCUUUCCUUCUCUCCUUUAUUUGAGGGGGGAAGAGUGCUGUACAAAGUCAAACAAACAAGUUUACAGUUGUAAGUGCAAUGACCCGAGUCCUCCACAUGACCUUGUGAAUUGUGUGCUGUCCUCCUGUGCUCUGUGAGAACUCGUGGUACUUCAGUGUCCCUCCCCCUGUAUUGUGACAAGGUAAUUCUGUGGUAUCAGAAUAAAAGGACUUGAUAUAAACAACCUA